RNAcentral lists this long non-coding RNA (19333 nucleotides) under Cucumis sativus (cucumber). RNAcentral's name for it is "long non-coding RNA (CSAT_LNC002450)". The record is from RNAcentral. Lineage: Eukaryota; Viridiplantae; Streptophyta; Magnoliopsida; Cucurbitales; Cucurbitaceae.
CGGGUAUACGAUUGUUUACUUCCUGCAUUGAAACGUUCAUAACGAUCAACUUUUUCUUCUAUUCAACUCUCCAGAACAUUUAUUAUUAUUAUUAUUUACUGAAUGGAAGUAUUUUGCUCCCACUUCCAAGCCUAAUGCUUUUUUCAACCUGCAUUUCGGCCUCAGUUAAACCACCUAGUUUUUGUUGUUGAGAAAGAAAGAUGCACAAUGAUGUCUGGCGUUUUGCUUUUUAUUGUCCUGAUAACUUUUGUCUUCAUGUCAGUUUUGAACUCUGUAAGAAUACUCUUUAGUAAUGAAAGAACUGUUUAAAUUCAAGUUCAUCGAUGGAUUCAUGAGUGUAUCUAGCAACCUUAGUCAUAUUAGAGAAAAUAAUUGUUUUUAGGAAAAAAGAAGUGUAGUUUCGUUUUUAUACUUGGUUUUGUGAAAGAUAAUAAUCUUAGGAACUUACCACCAAUAGCAAAGUAAUCUUGAAGCCCUCUUGGAGCCCUCCUUUUGCUUUGUUGUAGUUUGUUGGUGUGUUCGGAACACAUUUUGAACCGUUUAAUCUAAAAUGUAAAAUUAUUUUUGAAACAAUUGGCAUGCUUAACAACUACUUAAUAUAAGUUUUCUCAUAAGAAUUUAAAUAAAAAUGAGUUUUUUGUAUCCUUAAUCUAUUAAUUAAGCUACUCAGCCCAGCAUAAUAGUUAUGUUUUUCAUAUUACUGGCACUUAAAUUGGAUGUCUUGUUAGUUUUAGGUAAGAUAAAUCUAGUUAACUAUAACUUAUUGCCAUUUUAGAGUUGAUUUUGUGUAAUUGGAUCACUCUAUUCUAUUAUAUGUUCAACAAAUUAUAAAACAUACUUUUGUUUUUUUAAAACAAAUUGUGAGCUUUAGUUGAUUUUGUUCGUGAAUCAAAUGGUUAACGUGAGUUCAGCUCAACUGACAUUAUGUUCUUGAGGACAAUAUGUCACGGGUUCAAAUCUUCCACUUCAAGUUGUACCUAAUAAUACAUUUUAAAAAACUUAAUCUUGAUCAAAACAAAAUUUUCAAUUUUUGGAGAAAACUGAAAUCAAAUCGAUUAAACAACGAGUGAAACUAAGCAAUCGAAACUGAAUCAAAAUCAUAGAUAAAUUACGUCAUCCAAUCCCACAACAAGUUUAAAUGGUUUAAUUCUCAAUUUACGAAGUAAUAGACCACAUGUGAAAUUUUAUGGGUUAGGAUAAACUUUCUAUAAAAAAAUUCAUGUCUCAAUUGUGCCUACUCACCAUCUUGACAACAUAACACUUUAAUAUUAAAUUUUAUCACUAAUAAUAUAUAUUUAGUGGACGACUCGGUUUUUUAAUAUGUUUUUUUGACCUAACUUGAACCUGACCAAGUAGCUCGUUUUAUAUAUUAUCAAUUUGAACCAAAAAACAAUCAAGUUUUAACUCGAAUGGAUCAACAAUUUGGGUCGGCUUAGAUCAUUUUUACUUGCACUCAUGACAUGAAGAAUGCACGUGAUGCUAUUUUUGUACAUACCCGUCUCAAAAGGAGGUUCCAUAACUUGGUUGGGCUACCAUAACAUUUCGCUCUUGGGAAAAUUGUUAUAAAUCAUUAAUUUGAGGUGAAUCACACACUUAAUCCUAUAAUUAAAAUACAAUUCAAAUUCAGUCUACACUAUUAUUAUUAUUAUUUUUUGUAUACAACAAGAUAAGAAAAGAAGCUAUAGAACACCACAAGAUAUAAGUAAUGAAAAUCAUCGGGAAAAGGAAAAAGUAGAAUAUAAAAAAAAUCUCUCAGUUAAGGUCCUUAUUGCAAAGUUUCUUGAAUGAAAAUCGGAUACUUUAGUUAGAUUAGAUCUAAAUCGAUUAUAAUUUAUCGGGUUGGCUACCUCCAAACAAUUAAAUUCCACUUAUAUCAGAAUCAACAUUUCUAAUUAGAGAUGCAUUAUCCGCCAACUAGACAAACUCAUCAAUAAUCACCAACUAUAUAAUUUUUUUCAUUUUACAAUCAUUUAAAAUUUAUUAAUAGACAAAAAAAAAAAAAAUGGAAAGUGAGUACUUCAUUAACAAUAGUAAACAUGUGAAUCUUGAAACUAUUAAAAGAGUGACAAUAUAACAUCAUAGAACUAAGACCUAAAAUUGAAGAACUAAAAAUGAAAUUUUCUCAUAAUUUUAGCACUGACUAGACCGAUGAUCGUCGAGUUAUUUUUCAAAAGAAUUGUUACAAAGAUGGUGGCUCGGUGAGUGGUGGGGUCUUAGUUUUCCAAAUGUAUUUAUUUAUUUAAGACAAAAAGGAGUGCACAUGGAGGAAGCAGGAAAUUUUUUGGGAUCUUCGCCGGAGAAAGCUUGUCGGAGAAAUAAGAACCAUCGGAGCAACGGUGGAUAUUUGAAGCUGAUGAUGAUCGUUGAUGAAUUUUAGUUUUGUCUAUAGUGAAAAAAUAGGGAUUGGCACUUUGGUGAAAUCGGGGGCCAAAUCUCCUCAUUCCAAUUACUGCUGAGUUGGUGCGGAAAGUUUGGUAUCUUCUUCCUCGCGAAAACCCUAAACCCUUCUUUCUCUCUUAGCUCUUCCCCAUGGCGUCGUCCUCUUAUCUUCCUUUGGUUUCUGGUAAUUCCAUCUAAUACUCUGGGCGCUUUGAUUUUUAUGCUUUUGUUGAUUCUGUUUGAGUGCUUGAAGGGAUUUUAGGAUAUUUGUACAGUUGGGUUAGUUCUUGUAUCACUGGUUGUGUUAAUGCUGACUUGUUUUGUAUGGGAAAAUGGUUUUCAUGGAAUAUUCUCUAAUGCUACUAGGUUGGGGUUGAAUUACGUCUACUCGUAAUAGCCGAACUGACAUUAAAAUGAGUUCGAACUAUAUAUCUCAUUUGUCUCGUAUGUGUAUGUGUGUGUGUAUAUAUAUGUUUAUAUGUGCAUAUGUAUCUGUAUAUAUGUAUAUGUGUAUAUAUAGAUGUAUGUAUGUCUAUGUAUGUGUAGAUAUCUAUGUAUAUGUAUGUGUAUAUAUAUGCAUAUCUACGAGUAUAUGUAUAUCUAUGUGUAUUUAUAUGUAUAUUGAGGAACUUCACCAUGAUCCUAAUAUUUAGCAGACAAAAUGGCAAGCGGAGAGUUCUAACGGGAAAUGAAAAGACACUGUGCAUAAAAUUUGUUUCUUUAUUUGGAAUUCCAUCAAUAUCUUUUUCAACAGUAAUUUGUUGAAGAAGAGAAGCACAGCUCCAAUGGAGGCAACGCCAAACGAAAGCGAAGACAAGGGAAUCGGAUCCUCAAUUUCAUUAUACUCCUUUCAUUUAUGGAACCAAAUUGUAUCAUUUUUGCCAUCUCGUCAUGAUUCCAAUUUUCUUUGGAAGCUUUCGAGUCUCCUUCGUCGAAAGAGACGCAAGACUGGUCUUCCUCUUCCUCUACCUUUGAACUCGAUAAACUCUUCUGUGUAAGUCGCUUUAGUUCUACACUUUUUAUUUAUUUUCCUUUAUCUUUUGUUCCAUUUUAUUCUACAUAGCAUAUUUAUUUUUCUGGAAGUCUAUAUUUGUCUCGUAGUUUACAGUCUACACAACUGCAACUAUUUUAGUGGCAGAAGUUAUCGUCUGGUUGUGCCGUGUGAAAUGGAUAUGGAGAUAUCCUUAAUUUGAAGUUUCAUAAAAGGCUGAGGCUAUGAUGUUGUAUGAAAUGGAAUGAAAUUCACAAUGCCACCACAACUAGAUAUGAAUUCCCCCCCCCCCCCCCCACACAUCGCGUAGUAUUGUCCGAUCAUUGUAGUCCUCUCACCGAUCAUGAGUCUUUGGAGAUAGCGAGUCUUAUUUCCAUUAUUUUCAAUAAGAGGAUUUUUGUUGGGAGAACGGAGAAGGGAUGUUUGUUUUUGGAUUCCUAAUCCGUCCAAACGUUUCUCAUAUCACUAUUUUCUAUUUGUUUUUGUUCCCUUUCUCCCAUUUAAGAAAACUCAAAAUUUUCUCUUUAUGGAAGGUGAAAGUUCCUAAGAAAGUGAAAUUAUUUGUUUGCCAGUCUUACAUGGAAGAGUGAACACUCGAGAUCAUUUGCAACGACAUUCUUCCUUCGCUCUAUGUUUGCAUUGGUGUGGGGGAGUGUCAUGAAAGAGAAGCAUGGCCUGUGAGUUGGUGGGGCAUGGCUCCCAUCUGCUUAGUUGGGAGUUGGUAGGGCAUCUUGUGAGUUAGGGAGGGUUAGGGAUUGGUAACAUUAGAAUCCAGAACAAACCUUUGUUGGCAAAGUGGCUUUGGAGUUUCUAUCUGGAAUCCGAUUCUCUUUGGCAUAAGAUUGUUGUGAGCAAGCAUGGCUCUCAUCCUUUUGAAUGGAUGGCUUUUGGGGUUAAAGACACUUUUUUAAAUCCUUGGAAGGAUCUCUUUCGAGCUCCCUUCUUUUUUUGAGUUUUCUAGUUGUUUUGUGGGGGAUGGUAAGGACACUUAUUUUUGGGAGGAUCAGUGGGUAGGGGAGAACUUCCUAUGUUCGAUUUUUUUGCAUCUGUAUCAUUUAUCCUCUUCCAAAAAUUGCACUACCUCGAAUCUUUUGGUGAGAUAUGAGAAUUCCAUGUCUUUCUCUUUUGGAUUCCGUCGUAAUUUGACCAAUAAGGAGAUGACGGAGGUGGCUUCUCUUUUAUCCUUACUUGAGGGAUGCUCUUUUAGAGAGGGGAGAAGGGAUAUUCGUGUUUGGAAUCUUAAUCUUAGUCGAGGUUUCUCUUGUAAGUCUAUGUUAAGUCUGUUGUUGGAUCCCGCACUCCCUAAAGAGUUGGUUUUUGAUGUGGUGUGGAGGACUAAGGUGCCUAAGAAAGUUAGGUCUUUAUCUGGCACGUCUUUCUUGGUUGGGUUAAUAUCGUUGAUAGGAGAAGAAUUUUGCUUGUUGUGCCUUUUUGUUGCAUGUUGUGUUGGAAGGCGGAGGAUGAUCUUGUUCAUCUUUUUUGGGAUUGCCAGUUUGCAAGGGCCAUGUGGAGCUCCUUCCUUAAGGUGUUCGGUGUUAGCUUUGCUGGUUUACGUAGCAUCAAAGUGAUGAUUGAGGAGUUCCUCCUCCAUCUACCUUUAAGAGAUAAAUGGUUGUUUUUAAUGGCUUGUCGGGGUGUGCAUGGUUAUUUGAGACAUUUGGGGUGAGAGGAACGAUAGGGUGUUCCGGGGGAGAUGGAGAGGGAUCUUAGUGAGAUUUGGUCCUUAAUUAGAUUCCAUGUGUCUUUUUGGACUUCGAUUUCGAAGAACUUUUGUAACUUCUCCAUAGAUAAUAUUUUACUUAGUUGGUCCCCCAUUUUAUAAGUGGGGUGGCUUGGUGGGAUGUUUUUUUUGUAUGCCCUUGUAUUUUUUUCAUUUUUUUCUCAAUGAAAGCUGUGUGAUUUCAUAAAAAAAAAUGUCUGCAUUGGUGUGCCCUGUGUCAUUGGAAGGAAGAGGAUCUUGAUUCUUGACCACCUUCAUAUGGGAUUUCUAUUGCCAGUUUGCUUAUUCUCCUGUGAAGUCAUUCGUUUCGGAUGUUUAUGGGAAGUGUGGAUGGAGAAGAAUAGUCGCUUUUGUUGACCAGUCUUUUUAUAAUUAUCAGCCUGGUGUUAUUCUUUUAGCUUGGAGUCCUUUCUUGUUUAGCAAUGGACUUCUUUUGUAGACUUGUCUUUGUAUGCCCUUGUAAAUAUUUCAUAUCUCCUAAAUGAAAGCUCCUUUUCUUCUUAAAAAAAUAAAAGUCAACCACAAUGUCAAUGACACAAGUUCCUAUUGAGGAACCACAUGAUUUCUAGAAUUUACAGAGCGUGGUGUUUGUAUAUUUUUUUUUUUGCAUAAAUUUUAUCACCGGUCUCUUAUCUAUGACUUGCUUUGAGCACUGUGAACAUUUUUAUGCUUGCCCUUUGCACUCUCUACUACAUGGGUGAAUUAUUUUGAACAAAACAACUUGGGAGCUUGGUUUGUCUGGGUCUUCUUAUGCCAAAUCUUAAUUGGUUGUUGGAUGCUCUUAAUUCUUCUCAAGUUGCACACUCAGGCCAUCUGGCCAUUGAAGACGAUCAAUGAGGUUUGCCUCUGUAAUUGUUUGCUAGUUAUUGUGGAAGUGAAUACCAAGGAGUGUACACAAAUUAGAUACAAAUAUUGUGAGUUUGUUCAUUUUAUGGCAUUUCGACUGUGCCCUUCAGGCCUUCACAAAGCAUUGUUCGGUGACUACCCUGUUUUUGUUCAGCAGCUUGAUUGGCAGGUUCUGUUUGCAAUGGGUUUCCUUCGUGGGGUUUCAAAACCCCUUUCACUAGGUUGUUUUAUUUAUUUAUUCAAUUUGAUAUGAACAUACGAUUUCUCAUAAGAAAAAAAGUAGAUACAGGUGUUAAUGGUCCCCCCUCCCUCCCCCAAUGCUAUUAGCUUAACGCUCAAUGAAAGGUUACUUUUUAUUUGCCAGAAGGCAAGUAGGAUCAUUCGUAAAUCUGGCCCGCUUUAUUUAUAACCUGAUUUUCAAAUGUUUGGUAUUGCUUGAGCUUUUCUUUCAAGUCAUAAUGCCAGUUACCCGAAACCCAUCUUAGUAGUAACAUUUGGUAAAUUUUUAUGAUAUUCAGAUUGUAUGCUUAUCUGAUCCGUUCAUGGAAACUGUGAACAGUUUAACAGUAACUGGCUGGGAACCAGCAGAGGCUUCUAGACUGUACGAUGUUCUGGGAAAUCUCUUAGAGCACUGUUUCUCAAAUUUACAUAGCAUUUGGAAGAACCUGCAAUUCUGGCAAUCUCGUGCGGAGGCAAGUCUUUUUGUUCCCUUGUGUUUUUAACCAAUCUAUUUUAUGCAUAUAUCAAAGAUGCGUGGAAGAAAAUAUAGGUCCAAUAUAACUGUUUUUGUGUCUUCAAAAGAGCUGCUAUCCAGCGACAUCCUUCUUUCAAAAUGCAAAAUUAGAUUAUCUCAACGUUACAACCAAGAUUAGACUGAUCAGUCAUACUCCAGUUGUUCCUUUAAGUUUCUAUCUUCUUCCACAAACAUCCAAUGAGUGUAGAUGGGCUUUAGUUUACCCAAAGUACCAAAAAAUUGUUAAAACUGAGAACAACGUGCCCCCCCCCAAGAGUAGUCAGGAACAAUGAUGAAAGCUUCCCCUCUUUUUCCACACACUUUCAUGGAGACAAAUAAUAGAGGUAUCUUUUCCUGCAACAUAUGUUCAGUAACAAUCUUUUUCUGAGCGAUGCUCAAGGGGUUAAAUUGAUUGAAAUCUAAGUAAUGAAUUUUUAUAAGAAAUCUAAAUCAAUUUUUUGUAAUCUAAAGUAAAGAACAUGAAGAAGGAACUACAAGGAAAAUUCCUUUUGUUGAAAGUCCUUCCUUCAUGAUUUGAUGAAAGGGGCCUGCCAUCCUCUUCAGUUCACUGUGCUCACUGACUUUUUAAUGCAAAGCAUAUGAUUGAAUGAAAGGUUGUGUGUGCUUAUGUCAUUAUUUUGAUGAAAAUUUCAGGGUACAAAUGCUCAAAAGGUUUACUUUUUGAUUUGUGAGAGAGGUCCAAGGGCGUUUUUCAGUGGAACAGUGCAGUUAAUGCGCCAAAGUCUUAGGGAUGGUUUUUCCUUGCAACAUGUAGCUCGUGAGGCAUCUCUUUACAUAGCUCACCGGAUAAGUAUAUUGAGCAACCUAAGAUGUCAUCUUGCAGUUUUUGUGGCUCAGGUUUGGUUGCCCUUUUCAAUACUUACUUUUUCAAACGCAAUCUCAUCAUUUUUGUGGUUCUAUUCUAUCCUUGAAAAGACAGUUGGCUCACUCAUACACUUAAUGAGGUUUUUCAUAUUUUCAUUUGGCAAGUGUUUCAUAUAAAAACUUGUUGAUCGCUUUAGAACAUCUCUCCCUGUCUUUUGCCUUUCCCUCCUGCGGUAUAAUAACAGUUUAACUGCUUCACAUUUGAAUUUUAGCUCUCUCUCAAUUUCUUGUUGGGUUAUUUUGACUUUGUUCUUUUAUGGUUCUUGUAGGUCUUUAUGGAAAUUGACAAAAUAGGGGCAGAGGCAGUGGAUGGUCAAGAAAAUUCCUUACCUUCAUUGUUGGUUACAUUGAAUGGCUUAUUUCUCGAUCUAGAGGCAUCCAUUUGUCAACUGCAUGCAACACCUCAUGUAACUUGACAUUAUUUGUUAACUUUAUUGUGAAAAAUGCUGAAGCAGAAAUUAUUAUAAUUUCACAUUUCAGUUCCCAAUAUUUACUUUGUAAUUGACUGUGCAGAUGGAUUUUAUUGAUGACAGCGUUUCAUUUCCUCUAUUUGAAAAAGUACCAGAUGUGAACAAGGAGGGAUCUCAGUGGACAAGUUGUGAAAUUGGUGAUGCUAUCAACUUGCUUUAUCAGAACCUUCAUAAGUUGGACUCUUUCAUCUCCAAUCUUGUAAGAUCUCAUUUUAGAGCUCCUAUUAUUACUAAUUUAAUUUCACAACCUGAAAAAUUUUGUAGUCAAGAAGAAUACUUCCAAUUUGAUUUUCAAGAUCUGUGGCCACGAAUUCUCAGAUCAAAGGGAAUAUAUUGCUACUACUAUUCAUAACCGUUUGAUGAUUUACAACUCACCUUUAAGCCUGCACUAUAUAAGCACAUUUAUCAUUUUGCUGGAAAUAUAGCUCAUUUAAUGUUGUCAUGAUUCUGUCCAUUAUGGUGACAGCUUGAUAAAUUGAGAUUAAGAAAUAGUAUUAUCACCUACAACGUAAAAUUCUUUGCACUGAGUUUAUUUAUUUAUAUAUUUUUAUUUUAAUAAUGUUAUUAUUUUUUAAAAGGAAACCGAUCUCUUCAUUGAAGUAGCAAAAUGACAAUAAUGCUUAAGGUACAAAAAAACGGUACAAAAAGCGAGGGAGAAAUUUUCACUAAACCCUCGUUUCUUGAAUCAAGACCACAAGAAAUGAGGGUUUCAUACCAACAAGAUUCAACGAGCUCUCUUUGGUGCUUUUGAGGACGAGAGUCUAUAGGAACUCUCCUCUCUCCUCUCCCCACCCCGUCCUUCCACCUGUGAACAAUUUCCUCUGGUGACUUUCCUUCUUGGGUUUCUAUCCGUUUGCCGGUUCCAUUAGUUACUUCAAUACACUCAGCUGCCUCCCCAGUGGUUCGCUCAUCCCACAUAAUAGUCACUAGCUAUGGAGGUGGUCAGUUGCAAGGUGAACGGUCAGUUAUGAAUUUUGUUUGAUUCGGGUGGUUUUUCGUUGAAGAUGUGGAAGUUAACAAGAUUCUUUCAUUAGCUGAGUCUCACCUUCACUCGUUUGUGGAUCGAAUAUCAGCAUUACUUUAGGGGCCAAGUAAUCGUUUUUCGUCAGGAAUGGUCAUGAGAAAGCUAGGGUGAUAAGGCACUGUUGAGUCAAAUUUUCACCUCAUUUAUUACUACCAGUUUAGUGGAAACUUGACUGAACAGUGCCCACUCCUCUGAAGUGAAAAAGCUUAUCAAUCAAUUUGAUGAAAAGUCUUGUCUCCUUUUAGGAAAAACAGUCCCCACACCUCUGUAUAUGGAUCGUAAUCACUAAAGAUUAUUUGGGAGAAUCAAUAUAUUGUAUUCCAAUCAUUUCGGAAUUCAUAUGCUAUAGACACAUGUACAAGGAUUAUCUAAGGUAAGUAGUGGAAGCUAAUGAAGGGCAUAGUGUAAAUCACCCCUGAAUUUCUGGUAAAUUUACCUUUUAGUCAUACUACAACACUCUUCACUUUUGGGCUUGAAAUUGACAUGAGGCGAUGAGGGUCAGAACGUGGUUAUGAAUAUUAAUUGGCAGGAGAUGACCUUCAAGAUAGUUGUCUGAAUAUAUGGACUCUUGUGCCAUUUUAAAUCAUUAACCAAUCUAAACAAAGUUAAGCUGAUGGGUGACAUUAAACAUAAUUUUAUUCAUAGUUCAACACAAAAUACCAAUACAAAUACUAUUAUGCCCUCCUCAGGUCAGUAUUGAAAACGAAGUUACGGAGCACCAUGAGUUACUCCCUACAGUGAUGUGUUUAUUUUUUAUAGUUUAUGAAUACUCACUAAGAAGUGUUCAUUUAUGUGUGUCUUCCUUGUAUGCUGAUGCUUCUUUUUGUGUUUUUCCUUGUGUUCUGAUGUGUACUCAUCUUCCUUUUUAGGUUUGUAAACAUCGAAAGCCAAGGAAACUAACUCAAUACUGGCUUGGAUAUUCUUGUGGUGCAAUUGGUCUUUCAAUCUGUUCUGCUUGGCUUGUUCAACAUAGUAGUUUAAUGGGGAGCAAUGACAUUGAUAAUUGGGUUCGCGAAGCACAUAAUUCAGCAGCUAGUUUUUUCAAGGAUCAUGUAGAACAACCGGUACUAUUUUUACUAUUUGAAUUUGGUUUCCUUUGUCAUGAUUGGAAAUUUGGAGCACCUUUGUUUAUUUUCUUUACCACUGUAUUUUACUUUUCUUGGGUUUGGUCUUCAGUAUGGUUGAUUAUUAGGCUUAAAUAACUUUAAAGUCUCUCUUCAUGUCAUAAUGAAUACUUUUUUAAUUUAUCAACUGUGAGAAGACGUGCUUUGUUUCCCAAUAUGAGUGUUUUGAGUGUUUGUUGGCCAAGGAGGUGAUCAAGGGUAUUCUCUUCCUACUGAAUUUUCUAUGCACAAUGACCUUUCUUGUCAUAUGUAUCCAUUAUAAAGGAUCUAUGGGUGUGCUUAGAGAACUUUUGGGCAUGCUAAUAAUUAUUACUGGUUUCUUGGAGGGGUCAAGGGUCUUUAAUGUUGCUUUGUUAAAGUAUCUUUUUUAAUGAGAGACUUGUGAAUAAUUUCAUUGAUGGGAUGAAAUUACAAAAUACUAUUUCAUUGUGAAAAUAAGAGAAGUAAGGUUGUAAUCACAUAAGUGUGGGGUGAAUUUACACCAAGGUUGUAUACAAAAGAUGAUUGAAAAAGUGAGUGAAGUCGAAUUCCUUAUCUUUGAAAGUACGAUGGCUGCAUUCGUUCCAGAUGAGCCAAAAGAAGGCUUUUACAAUGAAGCACCAGAAGGCCUCUUUUUUGUUUUUGAAUGGAUGGCCAAUCAGUAGCAGAUAUAAUUAAAAAAUUUCAUAAUCCAAUUUAAUAUAUUAUUAGAGUAGGAGAUCUUGUGUUCGAACUCUUUUAAUGUCAUUUCUUUCGAAUUAAUGCGAUUUUCACUUGUUUGACCUUACAAAUUUUCAAGUUCACAGGUGAAGGAGAUCGUUAAAAUAUUGAUAUAAUUACAAUUUAUCAUAAGCCAUCAGCUUGAGCUCUUGGAUUGAUGGAUGAAACAUGCCGGUUGAGUUGAGAAGUUUGAUGAUGGUUGAAGAACUAGAAAUAUUGAAUUCUUGGGCGAUUUCUUGAUGCUUGUGGUUGUCUUUGGCUUGGUUGGUUUCUGUUUGAUAAAUGGUUGUCUUAUGCAUUGGAUCUUAGGGAUUGUAGAAUUAGUUUGAGGAUUGUUUCCCUAGAGCUUCUCCAUAGACUAGGUUCACAAGGCUUGCCGCUUGUUAGUAUUCAAUCCUUCCAAGAAGUGAUAUGUUGAGUGUUAUAAGAUUAAAUUUACCUUCACUUAUUAGCUUAAGCUUUUGGUUCAAUCAAUAAUUUAAGAUAUUAUCAAAGAGAUGUGGUCCAGGAUGUCAUGUGUUCAAGUCCAAAUGUUGUUUCCUCCCCAAUUAAAAUUGAUUUUCAUUGUUGGAUCUUUCACAUAUUUCAAGCCCACAAGUGAGGAGGGGUGUUGAAUGAUAUAAUAUUUAAUUUACUUUCACCUAUCAACUUAAGUUUUUGGGUCAAUCGUUGAUUUAAGAUGAACCCUUAAAAUGGUUACCAAAAUAGGUUUGAUGUCCAUGCUAGGGUGCAAUGAAAUCUACAUUAUUGUAACUUAAUCGUGAUUGAUUUCUAACUGAAGUGACAAUUAAAAAAUUCCUGGAACUGAUAUUCCAACUCCCUAUUUUGCAGCUUAUUUCAAUUAGAGAUGAACUUUUUGAUACAUUUAGAAAGAGGCAUAAAGGUGUGAUGGAGGUUCAAGAAGUUCAGUUAACUGCUAUCUCGCUGCACAGGUGAUUGUCGUUCACUGACUUAAUGUUUCUCCAACUCUGAGCUCCAGUUUAUUGUUGGAAAUGAGAAAUGUCAGUCUUGCACAACUUAUUUCUAUCUCCAAUCAUAAAAUGAAGAACUUUUUGAAAAACUGUUUUAAUGAAAAGCUUCAUAUCCUACGUUGGUGAUAGAAAUAAGUUGUGCAGCGAGAUUUAUGAAGGAAGAUUCUGCAUUGUGGUGACAAGUAAUUAAAAGUAUUCAUGUUGACAAGUAAUUAAAAGCAUUCAUGGCUGCCAAAAGUUUGAGUGGCAGACCUUAAAUAAAUCAGGAAAUAGCUUAAGAAGUCCGUGGACCAGUAUAUCUAGAGAAUGGAAUAAGGUGGAAAUGUUGACCCCUUUCAAGAUUUGUAAUGGCAGAAGGGUAAGUUUCUGGAAUAAGGUCGCCACAACGCAGAAUCUUCUGUCAUAACAAACACUCCCUCAGUCACCAACCCAUUUGGGUUGAGUUUGAUCCGUGUCAAUAUGGUGGAGGUUGAUGACAUUUAGUUAACUUAUUCUUUCCAUAUGAUGUUUCUUCUCACAUUGAUUUUUUCUUUAGACUAAUAGUUGAUAAAGUUACGAAUUUGUCUUGAAAAAUUGUUAAUUUUGCAGCUGUAGGUGAUCGUUUCCCUAAAUUUUUCAAAGAUAUGUGAUGCACUAUAAAUAUUUCUGCGGAUAUUGAAACUGCAAUUCAUAAGCCUAUAAUUUGGAUGAAAGAAUAAUUUUACUUGUUCUAUGAAAUGGUAAUUUGGAACACAUUAAACAAAACUAAUAUUUAAUCAUAAACUUAAUAAAAUAGUUAUCAGAAACAUGUUUCACUAGCAUGUUUUGUGGAAAACAAAACUAUUUUUUAAACAAUUCUCAUACAAGCCCUAGAUUUACGGCAACAUCCACACACACACAUAUAUAUGAAGAAAAAAAAAAUUUAAGAAUUGUUCUCUUCUUUCCAGAAUGUUACUUGCUUUCAGUGAGCACACAAAAGGCCAGAAGUUUCCAGAUGAUGCAUCGGAUCAAGAAAUGCUUGCAAUAGUUAUGACCAGGUUAUCCUUCAUAUUUUGUUUGUUGUUUUAUCUGCCGUUGCAAGGUGCAUGCAUUUGUUCUUGAAAACUGAAUAGGGCUGGCAUUUCUUAUAAUCAGUGUUAUUGGAUCUUCUUUGGACCAUAUUUCUCUUGAUUCCGUAAUCAGUGGAUUGGCAAUUGAACACUGAUCUCACAAAUAAUUGGUCUAAACAUCGAAUAUUGUGUCAUUCUUCAUAUUAUGUCCCAAAUUCAACUUUCUCCUCUUGGUUUUCUAAUGAGUUCUUCAAUCACAUUGGGACACUGCUGUUUGCUCUAUUGAAGUUUAUAUCAACAGCUUGGGUAAUAUUUAUCAACACGCAUGUUUCGUCUUACUUCAUUGCUCUCUUAUGUGGGGGGUUCAAAUGUUGUUUGACAGUAGACACCUUUCUUUUCUCACUUUUUCUCUCUGCAAAUUUCGUGGAAGAUAGUUAGGUUCUGUGGGUGUUGGUUUGGUUAUUCCUACUUUGGUAAACGAAAAGACAGCUUGUUUUGUGGAAUCUGUAUACAUAGAACGGCAAGUCCUUUGGCUGUACCAUUAGAAGUGUCAUGUGAAUGCUUUGCUAGAAAAACACAAAUAUUUUCAGAAAUUCUACAAAGAAACCUUUUUAUGUGUGUGCGUGUAUUUUGUCGCUAACAGAGAGCUUUCACUUAAAUUUCACAACUAUUCUUAUAUUAAUGCGAUAUCUAAAAUCAUGCUUCCUAUGAAAAAACAUUGUAAUACUCUAAUGUCAACGUUCAUCUAAAUGAAUAAUUUUUUUCAGUGAUGGAUAUCAAUUGUUUUUCCUAUAUAGGUAUGAGAAAGAACUGAUGCAUCCCAUUCAAAAUCUUCUUAGCGGAGAGCUGGCCCGUGCUUUGCUUAUCCAGGUUGUUACACGCUCAUUUAUUAUCUCUAUAUGUACGGAUACACUAUACUUGAUAGUAUUCUGUUUGUGUUGUUGCAGGUGCAGAAGCUAAAAUUAGAUAUUGAGACGUAAGUUAAAUAAGUUGCAACUUUUGGCACGCAAUACAUUUUAAAUCUUCAUCUUCCAUUUGUGGUUCAUAUUAUGAUGGCUUUUAAACAGGGCUAUGCUUGAGCUUGACCAGAUUCUCAAGGCAAAUGAAAUCAACUUUGCUGUUCUAGCUGCAUUGCCCGCAUUCUUUCUCUCACUUCUUUUGCUGAUGCUUUUGCGUACGUGGUAUAAACAGGUAUGUGCACUAAAAGCAAGUUUAGUUUAUAUCUUUUAAAGUUAAAUUAAAGUUUGAUGUUGUGCAUUCCGGAAAGAUGUUGUAGUAUGACAGUCACACUAGAGUGCUGAUACCUUCAUCUGUUACAUAGUCGUUAAGUUGAGUGGGUAGUGGGGCUAUCAACUUACUUAGAUUACUCUUAAACUUGGUCAAGUAUCGAAACUCCCAAGCCCACAAUACAUUUAAACAUUCUUUUAUGGUGUUUAGAUAUUUUAUAUUUUCCAAAUUGCCUUAAAUCAUCUGAGCUUUAAUAAUUCUUUGACCCAAAAGAAACCAGACAAAGUUAAAUUUUACAAUUCAUCUACCAGAAGAAUCCAAAAGCUAAAAUUGAGCAUCCUUUAGUUGAAAUUUAUUUUCUAUUGAAAGUAAUACAAAUACGUAUUUAUUUUAGUCGAGGUGCGCGUAAGCUAGGACACUCAUGGAUAUUAAAAGAAAAAUACAAAUACAUAUUUAUUUAGACCCUGUUUCAUAACAAUUUCAAUUUUAGUUUUCUGUUUUUGAAAACUGUGCUAGUUUUCUCUAUCCUCUUAUUAUAUUUUCCCCUCUUUUUAUGAAACAUCUAAUAUCUAGGCCAAAUUUCAAAAGCAAAAACAAGAUUAUAAAAACUAUAUCUAUAUUUGUACACAAUUUUUAAAAUUGGGAUGAACUUUGAAAUCUUAUUAGAAAGUAGAUGACAAAACAAAGAAACUUAAGGGUGGUGCGAGGAGGAUCAUGACCUUUUGAGUUAUCUUCAAAUAUAGCAAAAUGAACCAAAAUAUUCACAAAAUACAAUAGAAUAUCAUAGUCUAUCUACGAUGGACUGCUAUGGACCAACUAGUAGAUAAACUACUAUUUGAUAGACACAGAUGGUAGUCUAUCGUGGUCUAUGACAUAUAGAUUGUGAUAUUUUGCUAUAUUUGUAAGUAUUUUUAGAAGUUGUAAUUUAAAAUAAUUUCUUUAAAAAAAAUAAAUACAAACUAAUGUUACUUAUACGGGGAUAAGAAACAUUUGAUUGAUGAAUGAAAUAUCCAAAAAGCACAAUAUGGAGGGUACACCAAAUAUCAAAAGAUGCCCAAAACACAGGAAAAGAUACAACCGAUAAAGAUAAUAAGCAAAUGGGAUGAACUAAAGAUUUACAACCAAAUUGAAGAUAGAAAACAAAACCACAGGGGAUCUGAUGUAAUACCACAAGGAAGCACAUGUUGGAAUAUGACAGACGAUAGAAAGCCCAAAAAAUCAGGUCCCAAACGACCAAGUUCAAGAAACAAACAAGGAGGAAGUCCAUAGCACACUCAUGUUGAAGAUGACCCUUCUCCAAUCGAAUCUUUAGAUCAACAUUUGCCUUAAUUUUACUAAAUGAAGCAUUAAUUUUGUAACUUCAUUUUGAUUAAUUUUGGGUUGUUUCACAUGUGUUUUUAGUUUUUUCUUUGUCUAAUAUCACUCUAUGUUAAUUUAUUUGCAUAAAAGGAGACAAAGUCAGUUUAUUUACUCAUUAUGACAUUUAGGAUACUAGAGCUGAAGGGAAGGGAAGAGCUGCUCGGCUUCAGAGAAGACUACUAGUUGUGGAAGUGGAGAAAGCAAUAAUGCAAUACCAGAGUUUUGUUGACCAAGGACGUGUAAGGCAUUCAUUCUACUUGUUGGCUUCUCAACAUGUUUCUUCUCUGUUUGUUGACAUUUUGUUGCUAUAAAAGAAUUGUUUUUAGUUUGCAGAUCAGCAUGUGAAUGUAAACGUUAUGGAAUAAUUAAACCUAGUACGUUAAGCCACAAGUUUUUACUCUUUAUUUGCUAUAGAAAUUAGACAAUACACUAGUUAGGAAAGAGAAUAUCAAAUAAGAGGAGAACGGACCAGUGAUCUAAAUCAACCUUCAAAAUUAAGGGGAUUAAAUUAGAACUUCCCAUUGGUUCUAAUCAAACAAAGGUAGAGAAAAUAUAUACUAAUUCGCAGCCUAGAGAGAGGUGCCAACGCAUGCUCAGUAGAAAUCUUUUCUAUCUGAAAAAAGUUCCCUCUUUCUUACUAUCCUAAAUUUCUACAAAAUGUCAAUAGUCAAAACAUAGCACUUGUCUAGAUGAUUUAGCUUUGCGUUUAGGGUUGGGUAAAUCUCCCACAAAAUGUAAAACAUUGAACUUGUUCUAGUGACCCUGGCUUUUUUCUUUAGAGUAGGAUUAUUGAUAGGGAGGAGGUGCUCCUCCAUCCCCACCUUCCACAACAAGGGGCAAUGCCGCGUGGCAUUUUCUUUCUUUUACUUUUAUGGUUGAAGGGAAACGGGAAAAAGUUUUAAGAGCUUGAAAAAACUUGGGUGGAGUUGUGGUCGAUGUUGGGUUUAGCAUCUCUCUUUGGCCAUUAAUGACUACGACUUUUUGUAACUAUUCUCUUGAUUUGGUUCUUUUAAGUUGACUUUUUUUUAUUAUUAUUAAAAUUAAAUUUACUAUAAUCUACCAAAUUAAGCUUUUAGAUUGAUUAGUGACUUAAUAUGAUAUUAGAACCAGAGGUCCUGUGUUUCAACUUUUGUAAUUUCACUUCCUCUAAUUUUUUUUUAAACAAGCACAGAACUUUUUAUUGAUAAAAUGAAAAGAGACUAAUCUUCAAAAGAUGGAGAUUCUACACGGGAGUGAGGAAGAAAAGUGAUAAAAGAAGAAAAAUAACGAUCCACAGUUACAAUGAAAGAUACAAGGCAUUCCAAAUAUUACAUAUAACCUUUGAAGAGAAGCCAACAAAUGUAACGACCUAGCUUUUCUAAACUAAGUUGUGGUCGUUUUCAAAAGUAAAAAACAAUGCCAAAUCCUCAAAAACGAUGUUUGUAAAACAGAAGUAACCAAAAAACCAUUAAAAGGAAUUAGUUGUUCAGGCCCUAAGUAAAACAAUGAAAACAAUAUGUUCAUAAUAAAACCAUCUCAGACAUGGUAUAGAAAACAUAAGAAAAUCAUGAAAGAUAGCGGAAGAAAUAUCGUAGCGUUCCUCAUUUGGCCAGUCAUGGGUAUAUAAAAUAGGUAUUUCUCUAUCCUAAAAAGGCAAACACAACAUACAGAAGAAUAAGUUGUUUUUCUUCACGUUGCUUUAUUGGCAUUUAGUAUCCUGAGAGAAGAAUGAAAAUGUUCCCAUUUUUCUGAUUUGCAGGUAAAAGAUGCUGAAUGUAGAUUUGGGUUACUGUUGUAUAGUUUGGGUCGGUUGUACCAUGCUUCCGAGAAGCAUGCCAAAGCAACUGGUGAAUGGCUACAGUAAGUCUUAGUUCGGCUUUUCUUCUCUCUUUCUAGGGAAUACUUCCGAUCAGCAUGUGUUCCAGAAAGAUAAAGAUGCAAUAACAUGUCCUGCAUUAUAUAGAAAAUAAUCGUUUGAAAAUUGACGUGAAAACAUGUGACAAUCUUCUAGGUCAUGAGGAAUAGCAUUUUCAUAUAUAUUUACUUUUUUCACUGAUCUUAACCAGGAAUUUAUUUUAAAGAGAAAAAUUUUCUGAGUAAGGAGGGGCUAAAACAAUCCUAACAUGUCCCUCAAAACACCUUCUACAUUAAAGAAGAAAUUAGAUUUUUUAAUGAAAAGAUACUAAUGGUGAAAUAUAUGCAUACUAUAGGGGAGGGAAAAAGGACCAGAAGUGAAAAAUAAAAAAGAAAAGUGCCUAAAACCGAAAAAAAGAACCGAAAGAUUUGCAAAUAGCUUAAGGUUUCAAGUUUCAACCAAACUUGAAACUUCGAACAAACCUCAAAAAACCAAAUACAUCUGAACAUCCCAUCCUUUGAAUUGAAAAUUAAAGGGAUGUUAGUACGUAUUUGCAUAAAUCCUCAUCUACAAAUGCACUAAUUGACCCAAAAGCUUAAGCUAGUGGGUGAAGGUAAAUUUAAAAUUAUGUCAUUUUAACGACCUUGUUUUGCUCAAAACUCUCAUAAUGGUUGCUUCCCUCGUAGCAGUUAAACGUGCUGAAGAACAGAAGGUUUUUGUUUUAGAUUUUGAUAGUAGAAAGGGUAGCAGUGAGAUUUUUUUUUCUUUUAUACUUAUCAAUAUCAUCUCCUUGGGACCACUCUAGGAACAGAUCUUGGGAUAUGACAAAACUGUGAGAAAUCACUUUUGUACUAUGGAUCAUUCCCAUGAGCCAUUAUUGGAGUUCAAAACUUAGUAUCUUUGGAACCUUUAGCCACAAUGAGAUUAGAAAAGAUAGGAGUAGAGAUUAAAUGAAGGGAAAUAGUUUUACUUGAGAAGAACUUCACAGGGCGACUUUUAAUAUGCUUAACUAAAGAAAGGUAUCAAAGUAAAUUUACUCAAGAUAAGUUAAGAGGAGGAGCAAUUUGAUGAAAUUUUACAAAACAUCAAACAAUUUUGGGUUGAAUAAUAAGUCGGACACAUAAUGAGAUUAAGAGAACACGUGAAGUAGGAAACAAAUAUCUUCUUUGAAACCUGUUUCUGCAGUUUGUUGCUUGGCUCUCCCUCUUUUUGUGAAUUUUUUUUAUGUCCUUUAUUCUUUCUUUUUUUUUUCAAUGAAAACUUAGUUUAUCAUUAAGAAAAAGAAGAAGCAAAUAUCCUCUUUAAAACAAGGAAUCCUUUGACCAUCGUCUAUCAUUAUCAUCUCCUUGUUGCACUCGUUCUUUAUCAACCCCCUUUUCGUGUUCUUUUUCUUUUUGUGGUUUAUUGAAUUUUCAUUCUCAAAAUCCUGGUCUUGACCUUACGUAAAAGCUAUUGCUUUUUUAGAUAAAUCACAUCUUAAGAUUGUAUUCACUCUGCUCUUCGCUUGAGUUUUUAAUGGGAAAUGGACAGAGCAAGCGGUUGUUUGUUGUUGUGCACACUAAAUUGAGCACUUAAUAGUUACUUGUAAUGUAAAAAUAUUAAAUUUGGUUAUUGUGCUUUUCCAUAAUGUAGUACAUCUACAGUAAGCUGAUAUCUAACUUGAUAAACAGUUUGAGGCAGGAUAUUUUGGACCUGGGAAAGCCCAGUCUUCCAACAAGAGAUAAGCUCAGAAUUACGUGGCGCAUGGAACGGGUAUACGAUUGUUUACUUCCUGCAUUGAAACGUUCAUAACGAUCAACUUUUUCUUCUAUUCAACUCUCCAGAACAUUUAUUAUUAUUAUUAUUUACUGAAUGGAAGUAUUUUGCUCCCACUUCCAAGCCUAAUGCUUUUUUCAACCUGCAUUUCGGCCUCAGUUAAACCACCUAGUUUUUGUUGUUGAGAAAGAAAGAUGCACAAUGAUGUCUGGCGUUUUUCUUUUUAUUGUCCUGAUAACUUUUGUCUUCGUAUCAGUUUUGAACUCUGUAAGAAUACUCUUUAGUAAU